CAUCUAUAACCAUAUCUGCUCACACAUUUAUUAAGGAAAUGCAUUCCUGCUUUAACUUUGUGAUCCAGAAGGUGAAAAAGUCAAAAGAAAGGGAUUACCGGAAUUGCCGCAACCGACGACGAGAAUGGGGUGGUGGCGGGUGAUGUAGAGGCGAUGAUAGGGGAUUACCGGAAUUGUCCAAAUCUACAAAUAUUCACAUCUCGUUCUUAUGCAUCGUUCAAUACAGACACAACAAUCACUUUUUUUUAUAAGUUUUCACACACUAAAAUUGAAUCCCAGGUCUCCACCAUUGUUCAAUAAACCAUGAAAAAAACUCCUAUUUUUUUUCCACAAAUCUUCCAUUCUUCUUCACAAAAUAUUCUCCCUAUUCAGAAAAUAUCUAACAAGCAAGAAAAUAAAGCAAACACUUACACUCUUUUCACGGAGCGUCGCCGGAAAUUACACGAUUCAAGCCGCCGUCGAAAACUACUAGAGUGGAGUCGCCGCUGCUGCUCUGUAGAUGAGGAGUCAACUUUCUGUAUGCCUAG
RNAcentral lists this long non-coding RNA (527 nucleotides) under Salvia miltiorrhiza (redroot sage). RNAcentral describes it as "long non-coding RNA (SMIL_LNC007859)". Lineage: Eukaryota; Viridiplantae; Streptophyta; Magnoliopsida; Lamiales; Lamiaceae. The record is from RNAcentral.